UGCAAGUCGAGCGGAUGAAGGGAGCUUGCUCCCUGAUUCAGCGGCGGACGGGUGAGUAAUGCCUAGGAAUCUGCCUGGUAGUGGGGGACAACGUCUCGAAAGGGACGCUAAUACCGCAUACGUCCUACGGGAGAAAGCAGGGGACCUUCGGGCCUUGCGCUAUCAGAUGAGCCUAGGUCGGAUUAGCUAGUUGGUGAGGUAAUGGCUCACCAAGGCGACGAUCCGUAACUGGUCUGAGAGGAUGAUCAGUCACACUGGAACUGAGACACGGUCCAGACUCCUACGGGAGGCAGCAGUGGGGAAUAUUGGACAAUGGGCGAAAGCCUGAUCCAGCCAUGCCGCGUGUGUGAAGAAGGUCUUCGGAUUGUAAAGCACUUUAAGUUGGGAGGAAGGGCAUUAACCUAAUACGUUGGUGUUUUGACGUUACCGACAGAAUAAGCACCGGCUAACUCUGUGCCAGCAGCCGCGGUAAUACAGAGGGUGCAAGCGUUAAUCGGAAUUACUGGGCGUAAAGCGCGCGUAGGUGGUUUGUUAAGUUGGAUGU
RNAcentral lists this ribosomal RNA (544 nucleotides) under Pseudomonas sp. Z1S-211. RNAcentral's name for it is "bacterial SSU rRNA". It matches the Rfam family "Bacterial small subunit ribosomal RNA", at positions 56 to 595 of the family's 1533-position model. Lineage: Bacteria; Pseudomonadati; Pseudomonadota; Gammaproteobacteria; Pseudomonadales; Pseudomonadaceae. The record is from RNAcentral.